GGGAAGAUGGGCCUUCUGUCCUGGAAGGGCCAGUCUCCUGGGCAGAGCGCUAUGCAUAAGAAGGAAAGCCGUGUUACUCAAUGGUUCUACUGAACCACUAAGCAACAGGGGCUCUGGGGGCACUGUGGAGAUAGAGAACCCUUAGGAAGGCGAUGCUGGAUCCUAUGGGUCUCAACAGAGGGCCUUACGGGGCCACUGUAACAACCAACCACGAAUGGGAGGCUCAACACAACUGAAACGCACGUCCUCACAGUCCUGGAGGCCCGAACUCCAAAACCAAGGCGCCAGCAGGGCCACGCUUCCUCCACGGAGCCUCGGGGAGCAGACGGUCUUGAGACGAGACUUGCUCCCGCAACCCUUUCCCAGCUGCAGCUGCCUCUCCGCCAUCUCUGCCUCCGUGGCCACGCGGCAUCUUCUCCCUGGCAUGGGCUGAACCACCGCAUCUCGGGCAGGGAAGAAAAAAAUGCUGGCAACUAAACCGUGAGGUCCCUUCAAGAGUAAAAUGGAACCUAAGAGGAAGACGGAACCUAACAGAGAUGUCGGGAGGAGAAGCAGCAUGCAUCUUAGAAUUGAUAAGCACGAUACAUGACGACAGCUACUCAGGAGGCUGAGGCAGGAGAAUCGUUUGAAUCCAGGAGGCGGAGGUUGCAGUGAGCCAAGAUUGUGACAUUGCACUCCAGCCUGGAUGACAAGAGCACAACUCUGCCUCAACAAUAAAAAUAAAGAAAUUAAACAUAA
Molecule: long non-coding RNA, 738 nt
Organism: Homo sapiens (human)
Lineage: Eukaryota; Metazoa; Chordata; Mammalia; Primates; Hominidae
Source: Ensembl